GAUGAACGCUGGCGGCGUGCCUAAUACAUGCAAGUCGAGCGAACAGACGAGGAGCUUGCUCCUCUGACGUUAGCGGCGGACGGGUGAGUAACACGUGGAUAACCUACCUAUAAGACUGGGAUAACUUCGGGAAACCGGAGCUAAUACCGGAUAACAUGUUGAACCGCAUGGUUUAACAGUGAAAGACGGUCUUGCUGUCACUUAUAGAUGGAUCCGCGCCGCAUUAGCUAGUUGGUAAGGUAACGGCUUACCAAGGCAACGAUGCGUAGCCGACCUGAGAGGGUGAUCGGCCACACUGGAACUGAGACACGGUCCAGACUCCUACGGGAGGCAGCAGUAGGGAAUCUUCCGCAAUGGGCGAAAGCCUGACGGAGCAACGCCGCGUGAGUGAAGAAGGUCUUCGGAUCGUAAAACUCUGUUAUUAGGGAAGAACAAAUGUGUAAGUAACUAUGCACGUCUUGACGGUACCUAAUCAGAAAGCCACAGCUAACUACGUG
RNAcentral lists this ribosomal RNA (497 nucleotides) under uncultured bacterium. Its description in RNAcentral is "partial 16S ribosomal RNA". It matches the Rfam family "Bacterial small subunit ribosomal RNA", at positions 28 to 507 of the family's 1533-position model. The record is from RNAcentral.